This 79-nucleotide transfer RNA is filed under the name Candidatus Moraniibacteriota bacterium. RNAcentral's name for it is "tRNA-Ala". It matches the Rfam family "tRNA". From Rfam's summary of the family: Transfer RNA (tRNA) molecules are approximately 80 nucleotides in length. Their secondary structure includes four short double-helical elements and three loops (D, anti-codon, and T loops). Further hydrogen bonds mediate the characteristic L-shaped molecular structure. tRNAs have two regions of fundamental functional importance: the anti-codon, which is responsible for specific mRNA codon recognition, and the 3' end, to which the tRNAs corresponding amino acid is attached (by aminoacyl-tRNA synthetases). tRNAs cope with the degeneracy of the genetic code in two manners: having more than one tRNA (with a specific anti-codon) for a particular amino acid; and 'wobble' base-pairing, i.e. permitting non-standard base-pairing at the 3rd anti-codon position. Lineage: Bacteria; Candidatus Moraniibacteriota. The record is from RNAcentral.
UGGGCUUGUAGCUCAGUUGUCUAGAGCGUUAUAUUCGCAUUGUAGAGGUCCCCAGUUCGACUCUGGGCAGACCCACCCA